GUCAUCUUUCGUUAGGUGAGGCUUCUGUAUAGACACAUGCCACUGCCCGGAAACUUCGAGAGAAGGUAACGGGUCAACAGGUAUUACCGGCUUAAGGUUUUACUUAAUGUGGCUGGGAAGGCUAGUUAAUUCAUCCCUAGCUGUAUAGUGCCAAAGCUUGUACGAGUGAAGAAGGCG
RNAcentral lists this small RNA (177 nucleotides) under Peptococcaceae bacterium. RNAcentral's name for it is "Magnesium sequence". It matches the Rfam family "M-box riboswitch aptamer (ykoK leader)". From Rfam's summary of the family: M-box riboswitch, also know as ykoK leader is described as a metaloregulatory RNA that sense divalent metals and function as a genetic control element of genes related to divalent metal transport in bacteria. It was first reported upstream of the B.subtilis ykoK gene and genes with related functions in other bacteria. Lineage: Bacteria; Bacillati; Bacillota; Clostridia; Eubacteriales; Peptococcaceae. The record is from RNAcentral.